RNAcentral lists this ribosomal RNA (2904 nucleotides) under Pseudomonas amygdali pv. lachrymans str. M302278. Its description in RNAcentral is "bacterial LSU rRNA". It matches the Rfam family "Bacterial large subunit ribosomal RNA". Lineage: Bacteria; Pseudomonadati; Pseudomonadota; Gammaproteobacteria; Pseudomonadales; Pseudomonadaceae. The record is from RNAcentral.
GGUCAAGUGAAGAAGCGCAUACGGUGGAUGCCUUGGCAGUCAGAGGCGAUGAAAGACGUGGUAGCCUGCGAAAAGCUUCGGGGAGUCGGCAAACAGACUGUGAUCCGGAGAUGUCUGAAUGGGGGAACCCAGCCAUCAUAAGAUGGUUAUCUUACACUGAAUACAUAGGUGUAAGAGGCGAACCAGGGGAACUGAAACAUCUAAGUACCCUGAGGAAAAGAAAUCAACCGAGAUUCCCUUAGUAGUGGCGAGCGAACGGGGACCAGCCCUUAAGUUGUAUUGAGAUUAGCGGAACGCUCUGGAAAGGGCGGCCAUAGUGGGUGAUAGCCCUGUACGCGAAAAUCCCUUUGCAAUGAAAUCGAGUAGGACGGGGCACGAGAAACCUUGUCUGAAUAUGGGGGGACCAUCCUCCAAGGCUAAAUACUACUGACUGACCGAUAGUGAACCAGUACCGUGAGGGAAAGGCGAAAAGAACCGCGGAGAGCGGAGUGAAAUAGAUCCUGAAACCGUAUGCGUACAAGCAGUGGGAGCCCACUUUGUUGGGUGACUGCGUACCUUUUGUAUAAUGGGUCAGCGACUUAUUUUCAGUGGCGAGCUUAACCGAAUAGGGGAGGCGUAGCGAAAGCGAGUCUUAAUAGGGCGUCUAGUCGCUGGGAAUAGACCCGAAACCGGGCGAUCUAUCCAUGGGCAGGUUGAAGGUUGGGUAACACUAACUGGAGGACCGAACCGACUACCGUUGAAAAGUUAGCGGAUGACCUGUGGAUCGGAGUGAAAGGCUAAUCAAGCUCGGAGAUAGCUGGUUCUCCUCGAAAGCUAUUUAGGUAGCGCCUCAUGUAUCACUGUAGGGGGUAGAGCACUGUUUCGGCUAGGGGGUCAUCCCGACUUACCAAACCGAUGCAAACUCCGAAUACCUACAAGUGCCGAGCAUGGGAGACACACGGCGGGUGCUAACGUCCGUCGUGAAAAGGGAAACAACCCAGACCGUCAGCUAAGGUCCCAAAGUCAUGGUUAAGUGGGAAACGAUGUGGGAAGGCUUAGACAGCUAGGAGGUUGGCUUAGAAGCAGCCACCCUUUAAAGAAAGCGUAAUAGCUCACUAGUCGAGUCGGCCUGCGCGGAAGAUGUAACGGGGCUCAAACCAUGCACCGAAGCUACGGGUAUCAUCUUUUGAUGAUGCGGUAGAGGAGCGUUCUGUAAGCCUGUGAAGGUGAGUUGAGAAGCUUGCUGGAGGUAUCAGAAGUGCGAAUGCUGACAUGAGUAACGACAAUGGGUGUGAAAAACACCCACGCCGAAAGACCAAGGUUUCCUGCGCAACGUUAAUCGACGCAGGGUUAGUCGGUCCCUAAGGCGAGGCUGAAAAGCGUAGUCGAUGGAAAACAGGUUAAUAUUCCUGUACUUCUGGUUAUUGCGAUGGAGGGACGGAGAAGGCUAGGCCAGCCUGGCGUUGGUAGUCCAGGUUUAAGGUGGUAGGCUGAGAUCUUAGGUAAAUCCGGGAUCUUAAGGCCGAGAGCUGAUGACGAGUGUUCUUUUAGAACAUGAAGUGGUUGAUGCCAUGCUUCCAAGAAAAGCUUCUAAGCUUCAGGUAACCAGGAACCGUACCCCAAACCGACACAGGUGGUUGGGUAGAGAAUACCAAGGCGCUUGAGAGAACUCGGGUGAAGGAACUAGGCAAAAUGGCACCGUAACUUCGGGAGAAGGUGCGCCGGUGAGGGUGAAGCAUUUACUGCGUAAGCCCACGCCGGUCGAAGAUACCAGGCCGCUGCGACUGUUUAUUAAAAACACAGCACUCUGCAAACACGAAAGUGGACGUAUAGGGUGUGACGCCUGCCCGGUGCCGGAAGGUUAAUUGAUGGGGUUAGCGCAAGCGAAGCUCUUGAUCGAAGCCCCGGUAAACGGCGGCCGUAACUAUAACGGUCCUAAGGUAGCGAAAUUCCUUGUCGGGUAAGUUCCGACCUGCACGAAUGGCGUAACGAUGGCGGCGCUGUCUCCACCCGAGACUCAGUGAAAUUGAAAUCGCUGUGAAGAUGCAGUGUAUCCGCGGCUAGACGGAAAGACCCCGUGAACCUUUACUAUAGCUUUGCACUGGACUUUGAAUUUGCUUGUGUAGGAUAGGUGGGAGGCUUUGAAGCGUGGACGCCAGUCUGCGUGGAGCCAACCUUGAAAUACCACCCUGGCAACUUUGAGGUUCUAACUCAGGUCCGUUAUCCGGAUCGAGGACAGUGUAUGGUGGGUAGUUUGACUGGGGCGGUCUCCUCCUAAAGAGUAACGGAGGAGUACGAAGGUGCGCUCAGACCGGUCGGAAAUCGGUCGUAGAGUAUAAAGGCAAAAGCGCGCUUGACUGCGAGACAGACACGUCGAGCAGGUACGAAAGUAGGUCUUAGUGAUCCGGUGGUUCUGUAUGGAAGGGCCAUCGCUCAACGGAUAAAAGGUACUCCGGGGAUAACAGGCUGAUACCGCCCAAGAGUUCAUAUCGACGGCGGUGUUUGGCACCUCGAUGUCGGCUCAUCACAUCCUGGGGCUGAAGCCGGUCCCAAGGGUAUGGCUGUUCGCCAUUUAAAGUGGUACGCGAGCUGGGUUUAGAACGUCGUGAGACAGUUCGGUCCCUAUCUGCCGUGGACGUUUGAGAUUUGAGAGGGGCUGCUCCUAGUACGAGAGGACCGGAGUGGACGAACCUCUGGUGUUCCGGUUGUCACGCCAGUGGCAUUGCCGGGUAGCUAUGUUCGGAAAAGAUAACCGCUGAAAGCAUCUAAGCGGGAAACUUGCCUCAAGAUGAGAUCUCACUGGAACCUUGAGUUCCCUGAAGGGCCGUCGAAGACUACGACGUUGAUAGGUUGGGUGUGUAAGCGCUGUGAGGCGUUGAGCUAACCAAUACUAAUUGCCCGUGAGGCUUGACCAUAUAACACCCA